GGCGAGGCUAGAGUCUCGCCCGGGCAUGGCGUUGCCCCGGCGUGCUGGGAGUCCUCGGAGAGCAGCCCCCUGGCCUUAUUCGCUGGCUGUGGCCCCGUGGCCGAGCCAGUCACCAGGCCAGGGACAGGC
RNAcentral lists this small nucleolar RNA (129 nucleotides) under Erinaceus europaeus (western European hedgehog). RNAcentral's name for it is "Small nucleolar RNA SNORA3/SNORA45 family (ENSEEUG00000020066.1)". It matches the Rfam family "Small nucleolar RNA SNORA3/SNORA45 family". From Rfam's summary of the family: The members of this family belong to the H/ACA class of snoRNAs which are thought to guide the sites of modification of uridines to pseudouridines. The record is from RNAcentral. Lineage: Eukaryota; Metazoa; Chordata; Mammalia; Eulipotyphla; Erinaceidae.